RNAcentral lists this ribosomal RNA (487 nucleotides) under Cephalotrichum oligotriphicum. RNAcentral's name for it is "eukaryotic LSU rRNA". The stretch from base 149 to 302 matches the Rfam family "5.8S ribosomal RNA". Lineage: Eukaryota; Fungi; Ascomycota; Sordariomycetes; Microascales; Microascaceae. The record is from RNAcentral.
ACCUUACCUCUUGCCGCGUUGUCUCGGCGGGAGGCGGUGGGCGUCUCGCGCCCCUAGCGGGCCGUGCCGCUCCCGUCCCCGCCGGCGGCGCCAAACUCUAAAUUUACAGCGGACUGUACGUUCUGAUUUACAAAAAAAAACAAGUUAAAACUUUCAACAACGGAUCUCUUGGUUCUGGCAUCGAUGAAGAACGCAGCGAAAUGCGAUAAGUAAUGUGAAUUGCAGAAUUCAGUGAACCAUCGAAUCUUUGAACGCACAUUGCGCCCGGCAGUAAUCUGCCGGGCAUGCCUGUCCGAGCGUCAUUUCUACCCUCGAGCGAGUCCAGCAUCUAGGUGCUGUGCCCGCCCGGCGUUGGAGCACUACGGGAAGCCCUGUGCUGUCCCCCGUAGGCCCCGAAAUGAAGUGGCGGUCCUGCCGCGGCGCCCCCUGCGUAGUAUAACAGCUCGCUUCGGGACCCGGUGGAGGCCUGCCGUCAAACCUAUAUUCU